RNAcentral lists this ribosomal RNA (1458 nucleotides) under Triticum aestivum (bread wheat). Its description in RNAcentral is "partial small subunit ribosomal RNA". Lineage: Eukaryota; Viridiplantae; Streptophyta; Magnoliopsida; Poales; Poaceae. The record is from RNAcentral.
AUGAACACCACCAGCAGCAGCAACAGCUACAACAGCAAUAGCAACAGCUACACCAGCAGCAGCAGUAACCAACACAUACCUGCAGGAGACGAGAUGUUGCUGGAUGAGGAAGAAGCAAUUCAUCAGGAAGCAAUAAGAAGAACUUCAGUGAACCUGUCAGAUAAGGAAAGAUUUGCUGUUUAUUUUGCUUUGAAAGUGAUCAAGAGCAGAGAUGGAGCUAUUCAGCCAGAAGACAAGAUACUCAUUGCAAGCCUAUUGAAUACAGGCAUACGAACGGUUGAAAGAAUCUGGAAAGAUGCAAAUGAACAAAUUGCAGAAGGCCAAGUGGUUGUCGCAAGCAAAAGACCAGGUAGAGUUGGAAGAAAGAGAAAGAACUUGGAUCUGUCAAGGGCAUCGACAAUCCCACUCAACAGAAGGAGAACGGUUCGAGCUCUAGCAAGGUCUCUUGGUAUUCCCCGCUCGACCCUACACAGGAGGUUCAAGUUAGGUGAGCUGAAGCGUGUCACUAGCACCGUGAAGCCUACCAUCAAGCCAAAGAAUAAGAUUGCAAGACUGAAAUUUUGCAUGUCCAUGCUCGAUGAGCUUUGGAUCUCAACUCCAUCUCCUCUUUUCAAGCCAAUGACAGACAUGGUCCAUAUAGAUGAGAAAUGGUAUGAUAUGACACGAGUGAAGAAUACGUACUAUCUACUCCCAAAAGAACGUACACCCGAGCGCCCCGUGCCGAAUACGAACUGCAUUGGCAAGGUCAUGUUCCUGACAGCCGUGGCCAAGCCAAGAUAUAGUGAUGAUGGGGAGGUCAUAUUUGAUGGCAAGAUCGGGACUUGGGCCUUCGUCGAAGAGAAGGCGGCAGUCAGAACGAGUCAAAACAGAAUUAGAGGAACUAAAGAACUGAAAAAUGUGAAAGUGACCAGAAAUGUGAUGAGGGAUUAUCUAUGCAACAAGGUGAUCCCUGCUAUACAAGACAAAUGGCCUGACGAAGAUAUUGGAAGAACCAUCUAUAUACAUCAGGAUAAUGCCAAGCCACAUGUCCUGCCUAAUGACGUGGGUUUUCAAGAGGCUGUAGCACAAACGGAUCUUGAUAUUCGGUUGUUGCAACAACCACCCAACAGCCCCGAUAUGAACGUUUUAGACCUAUGCUUGCACAAUUCUCUUCAAUCCCUAACUGAUUGCUUAUCACCUAAAACUAUUCAGGAAUUGGUAGAAGGUGUGGAGGAACAGUUCGAGAACUAUGAGGUUCAGAAGUUGUUUAGAAGCUUCGUGACACUCCAGGCAGUUAUGAUUGAGGUUAUGAAAAAUAAAGGAGGCAAUGAGUAUACACUCCCGUAUUUGCAUAAAGAUCGCCAUCAAAAUGAAGGAAGGUCAGCAAUCUUUCUAUCUUGCGAUGCUCGGCUAGUUGCUGAGACCAAGACCCUUAUAGAGGAAGGAGAGAGAGAGAGGAGUGAGGGAAUGAGAGAUUGA